GCUCAGGACGAACGCUGGCGGCGUGCCUAAUACAUGCAAGUAGAACGCUGAAGAGAGGAGCUUGCUCUUCUUGGAUGAGUUGCGGACGGGUGAGUAACGCGUAGGUAACCUGCCUUGUAGCGGGGGAUAACUAUUGGAAACGAUAGCUAAUACCGCAUAACAAUGGAUGACUCAUGUCAUUUAUUUGAAAGGGGCAAAUGCUCCACUACAAGAUGGACCUGCGUUGUAUUAGCUAGUAGGUGAGGUAACGGCUCACCUAGGCGACGAUACAUAGCCGACCUGAGAGGGUGAUCGGCCACACUGGGACUGAGACACGGCCCAGACUCCUACGGGAGGCAGCAGUAGGGAAUCUUCGGCAAUGGGGGCAACCCUGACCGAGCAACGCCGCGUGAGUGAAGAAGGUUUUCGGAUCGUAAAGCUCUGUUGUAAGUCAAGAACGAGUGUGAGAGUGGAAAGUUCACACUGUGACGGUAGCUUACCAGAAAGGGACGGCUAACUACGUGCCAGCAGCCGCGGUAAUACGUAGGUCCCGAGCGUUGUCCGGAUUUAUUGGGCGUAAAGCGAGCGCAGGCGGUUUGAUAAGUCUGAAGUUAAAGGCUGUGGCUCAACCAUAGUUCGCUUUGGAAACUGUCAAACUUGAGUGCAGAAGGGGAGAGUGGAAUUCCAUGUGUAGCGGUGAAAUGCGUAGAUAUAUGGAGGAACACCGGUGGCGAAAGCGGCUCUCUGGUCUGUAACUGACGCUGAGGCUCGAAAGCGUGGGGAGCGAACAGGAUUAGAUACCCUGGUAGUCCACGCCGUAAACGAUGAGUGCUAGGUGUUGGAUCCUUUCCGGGAUUCAGUGCCGCAGCUAACGCAUUAAGCACUCCGCCUGGGGAGUAC
This 879-nucleotide ribosomal RNA is filed under the name uncultured bacterium. RNAcentral describes it as "bacterial SSU rRNA". It matches the Rfam family "Bacterial small subunit ribosomal RNA", at positions 22 to 883 of the family's 1533-position model. The record is from RNAcentral.